AUUGAACGCUGGCGGCAGGCCUAACACAUGCAAGUCGAGCGGCAGCGGGAAAGUAGCUUGCUACUUUUGCCGGCGAGCGGCGGACGGGUGAGUAAUGCCUGGGGAUCUGCCCAGUCGAGGGGGAUAACUACUGGAAACGGUAGCUAAUACCGCGUACGCCCUACGGGGGAAAGCAGGGGACCUUCGGGCCUUGCGCGCUUGGCUGAACCUGGGUGGGAUUAUCUAGUUGGUGAGGUAAUGGCUCACCAAGGCGACGAUCCCUAGCUGGUCUGAGAGGAUGAUCAGCCACACUGGAACUGAGACACGGUCCAGACUCCUACGGGAGGCAGCAGUGGGGAAUAUUGCACAAUGGGGGAAACCCUGAUGCAGCCAUGCCGCGUGUGUGAAGAAGGCCUUCGGGUUGUAAAGCACUUUCAGCGAGGAGGAAAGGUUGGUAGCUAAUAACUGCCAGCUGUGACGUUACUCGCAGAAGAAGCACCGGCUAACUCCGUGCCAGCCGCCGCGGUAA
RNAcentral lists this ribosomal RNA (508 nucleotides) under uncultured bacterium. Its description in RNAcentral is "partial 16S ribosomal RNA". It matches the Rfam family "Bacterial small subunit ribosomal RNA", at positions 30 to 523 of the family's 1533-position model. The record is from RNAcentral.